This 214-nucleotide ribosomal RNA is filed under the name Cronobacter sakazakii. RNAcentral's name for it is "partial 23S ribosomal RNA". It matches the Rfam family "Bacterial large subunit ribosomal RNA", at positions 1252 to 1470 of the family's 2925-position model. The record is from RNAcentral. Lineage: Bacteria; Pseudomonadati; Pseudomonadota; Gammaproteobacteria; Enterobacterales; Enterobacteriaceae.
GAAGGUGUGCUGUGAGGCAUGCUGGAGGUAUCAGAAGUGCGAAUGCUGACAUAAGUAACGAUAAAGCGGGUGAAAAGCCCGCUCGCCGGAAGACCAAGGGUUCCUGUCCAACGUUAAUCGGGGCAGGGUGAGUCGACCCCUAAGGCGAGGCCGAAAGGCGUAGUCGAUGGGAAACAGGUUAAUAUUCCUGUACUUGGUGUUACUGCGAAGGGGG